UCGAGCGGGCGUAGCAAUACGUCAGCGGCAGACGGUGAGUAACGCGUGGGAACGUGCCUUUUGGUUCGGAACAACACAGGGAAACUUGUGCUAAUACCGGAUAAGCCCUUACGGGGAAAGAUUUGUCGCCGAAAGAUCGGCCCGCGUCUGAUUAGCUAGUUGGUGAGGUAAUGGCUCACCAAGGCGACGAUCAGUAGCUGGUCUGAGAGGAUGAUCAGCCACAUUGGGACUGAGACACGGCCCAAACUCCUACGGGAGGCAGCAGUGGGGAAUAUUGGACAAUGGGCGCAAGCCUGAUCCAGCCAUGCCGCGUGAGUGAUGAAGGCCCUAGGGUUGUAAAGCUCUUUUGUGCGGGAAGAUAAUGACGGUACCGCAAGAAUAAGCCCCGGCUAACUUCGUGCCAGCAGCCGCG
Molecule: ribosomal RNA, 412 nt
Filed under: uncultured soil bacterium
Lineage: Bacteria
Description: bacterial SSU rRNA
Rfam family: Bacterial small subunit ribosomal RNA
Source: RNAcentral